CCUACGGGAGGCAGCAGUGGGGAAUAUUGGGCAAUGGGCGCAAGCCUGACCCAGCAACGCCGCGUGAAGGAAGAAGGCUUUCGGGUUGUAAACUUCUUUUGUCAGGGACGAAACAAAUGACGGUACCUGACGAAUAAGCCACGACGAACUACGUGCCAGCAGCGGCGGUAAUACGUAGGUGGCAGGCGUUAUCCGGAUUUACUGGGUGUAAAGGGCGUGUAGGCGGGGGAGCAAGUCUGAUGUGAAAUUCCAGGGCUCAACCCUGGAACUGCAUUUGAAACUGUUUUACUUGAGUGAUGGAGAGGCAGGCGGAAUUCCGGGUGUAGCGGUGAAAUGCGUAGAUAUACGGAGGAACACCAGUGGCGAAGGCGGCCUGCUGGACAGUAACUGACGCUGAGGCGCGAAAGCGUGGGGAGCAAACAGGAUUAGAUACCCCAGUAGUC
Molecule: ribosomal RNA, 443 nt
Filed under: uncultured bacterium
Lineage: Bacteria
Description: partial 16S ribosomal RNA
Rfam family: Bacterial small subunit ribosomal RNA
Source: RNAcentral